UUUGGGCAUAUGAUGAAUUAAAAUUAGUGUAAAUGGGUAAUUUGCAUCUGAAUUUUAUUUGAUGUUAAUAUCACCUUGGAGAACUGAUGCCCAAA
Molecule: small nucleolar RNA, 95 nt
Filed under: Trifolium pratense (red clover)
Lineage: Eukaryota; Viridiplantae; Streptophyta; Magnoliopsida; Fabales; Fabaceae
Source: RNAcentral